Molecule: long non-coding RNA, 59 nt
Filed under: Castor canadensis (American beaver)
Lineage: Eukaryota; Metazoa; Chordata; Mammalia; Rodentia; Castoridae
Description: HOX antisense intergenic RNA myeloid 1 conserved region 3 (ENSCCNG00000030732.1)
Rfam family: HOX antisense intergenic RNA myeloid 1 conserved region 3
Source: RNAcentral
GGUCUGUUUUGCCUGAACUCAUCAACAACUGAGAGAUUAAUCAUCCAUACUGAAAAUGU